Molecule: long non-coding RNA, 4377 nt
Organism: Equus caballus (horse)
Lineage: Eukaryota; Metazoa; Chordata; Mammalia; Perissodactyla; Equidae
Source: Ensembl
GGGAGCUUUACGGGCCUGUUUGUUUUCCUGAGCUAAUAUUUAAGUUCUUUUGCUUGCCCUCUGCACACAGCUGGUGGGCAGUAGGAGAAAAGUCAGGGGUCUGCCCUGGACUCAAACCAAUUGUAGAGAAUGUGCAAAGGGACUAGUCAAGGGUAGCCCCUUCAGCCAGUUUGCGUGGGGAAACUGUAAAAGAUGGGCUUGGUCUGCGUGCGCUGACCCAGGCCAGCAGGGGUGGGCACGCGUAGCAUUGGGGUGGUUUCCUGAGCCGCCUCCCGGUUGGACGGUCUCUGGCAGGGCAGACACCCCUCCCUGCUUCUCCAGCAGCGCCGGCCAGGAUCGGCACCCUUCAGGAGGGGCUUCCUGUCCCCUGACAGCAGACCUGGAGGGGGCCACCCCAGUGGUGUGACAUCACAAUGUAGCCCAUUCAGGAUCUUGGGACCCGCUUGCUCCUGGGCCCAGGAUAUAAGCUUAACCUCGCAGGGCUGGCCUCACCAACAGGGCCACGGCAGCAGAGACAAGCGCUGAUCUACCAGGCACUCUGGGCGGGCUCUCAGGCACAGGUGAUGACAAAGAUGCUCACCAGCAGUUCUGCACUCAUAUCCUACCAGCCGAGCAAUCCUUGCAGAGAAAGACAGCAUUUUUUACCAGUAAUUCCAACAGAAGUCCCAGAUUUGGCCUGGGCUAGAGUGGAGUUGUUGGGAAAUAUGAGUGCUGAAGCAGCCAUUUCAUCACCAUGAGUGGGACUAACCGAGACUGAAGCCGACACGAGGAGGAAAAGUUGAAAGAAUCAGAAAUGGAAGAUGGAUCACGUGUCUCCCAGGCUGAGAGCCUUCCUCUCUGAACCCAUUGGAGAAAAGGAUGUUGUCUGGGUCGAUGGGAUCAGCCAUGAGCUUGCAAUCAAUUUGGUCACCAAAGGUUUCAACAAGGGGUCAACAGAAAUCAGCCAGCCCCCCAAGUCUGCUGAGCUGGCAGGAUGGAUGAUUUGAACACACUCUCCACCCCCAUGAAGAGACUCUCGUCCUGUCAGGGCACCAGCCUGGCAAUGGCAGGUGGAGUAACAGCAGCCUGGGGUCUGCGCCAGAGUAGAGGGAUGUGCAUUGUUCUAAGAUGUCACUCCAGUCCAAGAAGGAACUCAAGGAUAUCCAGCGGAGUUGGAGCAUUCUUUUCUAUGUAAUCAUUUGUUUUUAUGGUGCUGUCAUAAAGCUGCUUGAAAUUUUAGGAGAGAAUGGGAGAUGCUCCCAAAGAGAACGCUAGAAAGUGAACACAUACAGAGACAAUGGGAAUUCACACAGAGCGUUGCAUGCUCCGUUGAGAGAGGUGCCUGCAACAGAGCUGUUACUGUUCAUUGCCUUCAGUUUUUCAAGUCAGUCUACACUGCUGUGCAGGAAGAUGUUUCGGAAACACCCAGAGAGUCUGGGAACCGCUGCACGCGCGGCUGAGGAUCAGCUUGGUUUGCAGGGGCACAGAGCAGGCUGUUUCCAGGGGGCAUGUGAACCACUGGGCCUAUGGUUUUCUGAUUGACACGCUGCUCUGCACCAGUUGUUAAAUAUUCUGAAUGUCAUUCCAAUCUGCUGGCCAAUUUACUAUCCAGUAGGUGGUAUUGUCAGGAAGCUGGAGCUCCACGACUAAGGUCGACUUCCUUCUUUCCUCCGCAUGAGGCAGAUAGGACCACUCCCGAGCAGGUGGUGAAGUAGACAAGUCUGCAUAGGGGAGACAGUUUUAAUUAAAAUUUCUCUUUCAAAAGAACUGAUUGUCCGUUUUACUUUUCUAUUGUGGUGUAACAUACGUGCCUUGGUAUGAAGCGUUCAGCUCACUGCAUGUUGACAUUAUAUCCACCCAGGGACUCACUACCUGGAUCUAGUGAUUGGGCAUCUCCAUAAUUCCCAAUGGUUCUCUCAUGCCUCUUCCCAAUCAGGGCCAUCCCCACUCCCAGAGGAAACCACUCUUCUGGCUUCUACCACCAUUGAUUGAAUAUUUCCAUAAUUGUGAGGUUUUGUUGUUGUUCGGCCAUACUCAUCAUUUAAAAAAUAUUUUUAUUUAUAUACAGUAAAUUUCACCUUUCUAGUACACAGUUCUGAGAGUUUUGACAAAUGCAUGCAGUCCUGUAGCCUCUAGCAGAAUCAAGACAUGGAAUAAUCUCCAUCACUCCAGAAUGUUCCCCUUUGCCCUUCAGAUUCCCCACCCUCAGCCCCUGGCAACCACUGAUUUGUUUCCUGUCCCUGUAGUUUUGCCUUUUCUGUCUUAAUUGUGUUUUAAAUGAGUAUUACAAGUGGGAUGAUAAGCAUGUUUAAGACCAAGAGAUGAAUGACUAAUGGAAAAAUUUCAGGCAUCUGAGAACUUAAUACACAGAGUCAGGGCUGUAGGGAAGAAGGGAGUGUUUGCCUAUAUGCAUCUGGGCCCCUGGAGACAUGCUCCUCUUGUGGUCACUGCCUCCUGGACAGCACCAUGACCAGCCCUCUACUUGUAGGCCCUGCUUGUCCCAGGGCCACUAAUUCCAGGCACUGACACCAGCGAUUCACCUUUCUCCUUUGCUUUGAGCCCCUCAGCCACCUGUGAAUGAGAUACAGGUCGCUAUCGCCCCUUCACAAAUGAGGAGACAGAGGCUCAGAGAAGUUGGCGCCUUGAUUAAGGUCGCGAGUGAGGAUCAGAAUGGCUGUGGAUUGUGCGGCCACGAGUCGCUCCAGAAGAUCCAGCCCAGUGGCUGCCCGGCAGGGAGGGGGCUUACACUGAAAUUUGGUGGCGAGACCCCAUAUCAGUGCCUGGAACCUGGCUGGUAAGUGGAUCCAGGAGGAGAGCCCCAGGUGACAUCUACAAGAUGAGCAAGUGCUUCUGGGUGAGGACUGGUCUGGGGUCAGGGCCAGCAGUAAGAGCCUCUGGGGCAGGCGGAUCCUAGCAGGGCGGGGGUCUCAGAGUUAGCAGCUAAAAAUGCAGGCUUCUGUGUUGCUUUCAAUGGACUUUAUUUUUUAGAGCAGUUUUAGGUUCACAGCAAAAUUGAGUGUAAAGUACAGAGUUCCCAAAUUCCCCUGGCCCCCCUCGCCCAUUAUCAACAUCCUGCACCAGAGCCUGCGAGUGUUACAGUCGAAGAGCCUACAGUGACACGUGGUUAUCUCCUAGAGCCUGUAGUUUACAUAAGGGUCACUCUUGGAGCUAUACAUUCUGUGGGUUUUGACAAAUGUGUGAUGACGUAUCCACCCUUCUAGUGUCAUACAGAGUUCUUUCACUGCCCUAAAAUCCUCUGAGCUCCUGUGUUGUUAGACCCUGCCAGCGGGAGACCCGAGCCUGGCAUAGGGAGGGACAUCUUUGUGGGUCUUUGCUGGCCUCUGUUGGGGUGUAGCGGCCCCUCCUCAGACCAGGGGUCAGCCAGGCUUUCUCCGCUGUGAGCGAACACAGCCUCAGGUUCCACCCUUGCUUGCGACCACUUUCUUGGCCUUGUCCCGGUGGUGCUGGCUCUUUCUGCACCCUUUCUGAGGACCCGCUGGGAUGCAGACCCACUGGGCUGCCCUCAGCCCUGCUCGCCUGGGCUCCUCACCCAGCCUUCGACACUCUCCCGAGAACCCAGGGUGCUGGAGCACCCAGAGCUGAGGCACCGCCCCCGCCCGGGGGACCCCACUGCAAUUGAUCUGGGUAUCUCCAUCACCUAUCUGGGGAGUUGGCCCUGCAUGGGGGGCAGACAUGGAGGCACCUUCUCAAGCUCUCAUCAGCCUCUAAAUCUAGCAACCUCUCCUCGAUUACUGCCCCGCCAGGUGAGACUUUCCUCUCUCCUCCGUGGAAGGCGUGGGGCGCUGGGAGGGGCUGGCCCCUCGCCCUGCUGGGCUUCCCCCGAGCUUUGGCGGUGGCAUGAACUGUCCUCUGGCUCAAAGUUUCAGUCGUGACUUUCAAAACUAGAUUCCACUAUAGAUUCACCCCAGUCUCUUCAGGAGCUCAAAAGUGAAAAAUGUGUGUGUUCUCUCUAGAUUGUUUCCUGCCUGCCCCUCUGCAGGGCAAUUGGCUUCGGCCUAAGGAACUAGAUCUGGGCCGUCAAUAUGGUGGUCACUGGCCCCUUGUACCCUUUGAGCGCCCAUCUGAAUGGACAUGUGCUAUAAAUAUAAAAUACGCAUGGCCAUUUUAAAGACUUAGUACCAAAAAAAGAAUGUAAAGUGUCUCAUUAGUAAUUUUUUUGAUUACGUGUUGAAAUGAUAAUACUUUAGAAAUAUGGGAGGAAAAAAACAUAUUGUUAGAAUUAGUUUGACCUUUUUAUUACCCCUUUUACUGUGGCUACUCAAAGAUUAAAAACACCAUCUGUGGCUGGCUCACAUUAGAUUUCCACUGGACAGCACUGGUCUGGAUUUAACGGCAGGAGGGCUGCAAGGGAGAAGGGAAUUACCAAGAAGGGAAAAG